AGAAUCGAGACGACGACGUGCACUUUUCCACCGGCCACCACAACAACCACCACCAAUACUCAGUUUUUUUGGCACUGUACACCAGCGGAAUAUCAAUACUCAGCAAGUUUCCUCAAAACACCAAUCCUCAGUUUUUUUGGCAUUGCACAAAUACAAACGAGGCGUUGCACACCAACGGACACAUAUCACCAAUUCUUGUUGCACUUCCAACCAACGCAGGCAAACCAGGUACGUGAUUGCUUUAAUAUCACUUGGAUACCAAUCGUUUUUUAAAAAAAAAAAAAAAAAAAA
This 291-nucleotide long non-coding RNA is filed under the name Bactrocera tryoni. RNAcentral describes it as "uncharacterized LOC120779327". Lineage: Eukaryota; Metazoa; Arthropoda; Insecta; Diptera; Tephritidae. The record is from RNAcentral.